GGCGGCGUAGCUCAGUGGCUAGAGCAGAUGAUUCAUAAUCAUCGUGUCAAGGGUUCGAGUCCCUUCGCCGCCACCA
RNAcentral lists this transfer RNA (76 nucleotides) under Fervidobacterium nodosum. RNAcentral describes it as "tRNA-Met". It matches the Rfam family "tRNA". Rfam says of the family: Transfer RNA (tRNA) molecules are approximately 80 nucleotides in length. Their secondary structure includes four short double-helical elements and three loops (D, anti-codon, and T loops). Lineage: Bacteria; Thermotogati; Thermotogota; Thermotogae; Thermotogales; Fervidobacteriaceae. The record is from RNAcentral. RNAcentral also lists the same sequence under 7 other names.